AGGUAAGAACGCUGGCGGCGUGCCUAUACAUGCAAGUCGAGCGGAUCUUCAUUAGCUUGCUUUUGAAGAUCAGCGGCGGACGGGUGAGUAACACGUGGGCAACCUGCCUGUAAGACUGGGAUAACUUCGGGAAACCGGAGCUAAUACCGGAUAAUCCUUUCCCUCACAUGAGGGAAAGCUGAAAGACGGUUUCGGCUGUCACUUACAGAUGGGCCCGCGGCGCAUUAGCUAGUUGGUGAGGUAACGGCUCACCAAGGCAACGAUGCGUAGCCGACCUGAGAGGGUGAUCGGCCACACUGGGACUGAGACACGGCCCAGACUCCUACGGGAGGCAGCAGUAGGGAAUCUUCCGCAAUGGACGAAAGUCUGACGGAGCAACGCCGCGUGAACGAUGAAGGCUUUCGGGUCGUAAAGUUCUGUUGUUAGGGAAGAACAAGUACCGGAGUAACUGCCGGUACCUUGACGGUACCUAACCAGAAAGCCACGGCUAACUACGUGCCAGCCCGCCGCGGUA
This 514-nucleotide ribosomal RNA is filed under the name Mesobacillus thioparans. RNAcentral describes it as "bacterial SSU rRNA". It matches the Rfam family "Bacterial small subunit ribosomal RNA", at positions 31 to 522 of the family's 1533-position model. Lineage: Bacteria; Bacillati; Bacillota; Bacilli; Caryophanales; Bacillaceae. The record is from RNAcentral.